Helianthus annuus (common sunflower) is the source of this 2967-nucleotide RNA transcript. It is a transcript of the gene named histone-lysine N-methyltransferase EZA1, with no coding region annotated. The record is from RefSeq and is a predicted model, not a curated record. The transcript is spliced from 18 exons. NCBI's taxonomy places the organism in Eukaryota, Viridiplantae, Streptophyta, Magnoliopsida, Asterales, Asteraceae.
CCAAGCUCCUUCCUAAUGGACCAAAUUACACUAGUCCAGAUUUUCCGCGGGUAUCCCUCAGCCUAAACCCUCCUUGUACGUCGGUUCUUCUUCUUCUUCUCUCUCUUGAUCACUCCCCACAACUUCACUCUUCACUUCCACUGCGAUCGAUGAUGCUCUCCAACUCCAAUUCAAUCGAUUCCUCUAAAUCCGCUAAUUCACGGAGGGAGCAGGCCUCCGGUGAUUUGGAAUUCUUAACUGUUAAGAUAAAUCAGCUGAAGAAGCAGAUUCAAGCAGAAAGGGUUCUCUUGAUUAAAGAUAAAGUUGCAAAGAACUGUGAGAAGCUAGAAAAAGAUGUCUCUCAUCUUCUGUCAUUAUCAGCGCAUAGAGCUAACGAUUCAUCUACUGAAAACAGUGGCACGGGUGAAAUGCUGUCUUCCAGGAUUAAAAACCCCCUCUGCAUCCUUACUGGGCCAGGCCAAAUAUCAGGCGAUGAUAGCAGCAGUCAAGAAGCAGCUAUUUCAAUAAGUGCGAAACUUCCGGUUGCUGAUAGAAUACCACCUUAUACUACCUGGAUCUUUUUGGCCAGAAACCAGAGAAUGGCUGAUGAUCAAUCAAUUGUUGGGAGGCGACGUAUAUAUUAUGAUCAAAAUGGAAGUGAAGCUCUGAUUUGUAGUGACAGUGAGGAAGAGCUUACUGAACCAGAGGAAGAGAAACAUGAAUUUUCCGAGACAGAAAAACGCAUCAUACGGAUGGUUUCUCGGGAUUAUGAGCCAAGUGACGAAGUAAUUAAAAUCUUGACACAAUAUGUUGGGGGGAAUACUUCAGAAAUCUAUGAGGCAUAUAUCAUGUUGAAAACAGAAGAUGAAGAAAACAUAAACCAAAAUGUGUCUGCUUCUGCAGACCAUCAUCAUGAUUGGAGCAUACCUCUGGACAAAAGUCUUAGUGCUUCAUUAGAUUCCCUUGAUAAUCUUUUUUGUCGGCGGUGUUUGGUAUUUGAUUGCCGUCUUCAUGGUUACUCUCAAACCGUUAUUACUCCUACCGAAAGACAACACUACCCUCUUGAUUCUCAAGAGACGGUGAAACCUUGCAGUGAUCAUUGUUACCUUCAGCUUCAAACUGUGAAGAAGCAUUCAGAUCAUCUAGAUGUCUUAAGUGAGACACACACUACACCUUCAGAUGAAAACCUGCACGAUAUCCGGAUUGGUGAUGAUCCAGGAAAGCGGAAGCUAUCCAAACAAACAACCACGGUAUUAGAAGAACCAAAACAUGUUAUUGAUGACCAACAAGGGUCUUCCUUGAAAAAACAGAAAACAGGGUCAGUACCCGAUACAAUAUCUAUGACGAUUGAAGAUACUCAAGUUGCAGAUGACAACUUAAAUGACAAAAAAUUGGAUCUCCAAAUGACCACCAAUGAUGAAGCGACCAGUUCUUCUCAGUGUGUUUCAAAAGAAGUGAUUAAGGAUACGGGUACAGGAGUAAAUAUGUUAAAGCAGGAAUCAACUCCAGUAGGGACAAAAUGGGAACUACUCGAGAAAGAACUAUAUGUUAAGGGAUUAGAGAUUUUUGGGAAGAACAGCUGUCUCAUAGCAAGAAACUUACUUUCUGGCUUGAAAACUUGCACGGAAGUAGCCAAUUAUAUGUGUGAUAAUGGAGCAGCAACAUCACAGAGAUCGUUUACUGCAUGCUCUAUGCCAGAUGGAAACGACAGAGCUGAUGCAGAUCCUAAGGAGCAAGACACUGCAUCAAGGUCACGAAUGCUUCGAAGAAAGGGUAGAGCAAAAAAACUUAAAUAUUCAUGGAAGUCUGCGGGUCAUCCCUCAAUGUGGAGACGAAUUGCUGAUGAGAAAAACCAAUCUUGCAAACAGUAUAUUCCAUGUAGAUGCGAAUCUAUGUGUGGAAAAGAAUGCCCCUGUUUGGAUAAUGCUACUUGCUGUGAGAAAUACUGUGGGUGCUCAAAAAGCUGCAAGAACAGGUUUAGGGGAUGUCACUGCGCAAAGAGCCAAUGCAGAAGCCGACAAUGCCCGUGUUUUGCUGCUGGACGUGAAUGUGAUCCCGAUGUUUGCAGGAAUUGCUGGGUGAGUUGUGGUGAUGGUUCAUCAGGAGAGCCCCCAAGAAGAGGUGAAGGCCAAUGCGGUAACAUGAGGCUCCUUCUGAGGCAGCAGCAAAGGGUGAGCAGUAUCAACUAUCAACAACUAUUCUUCUGGCUAAAUCUAAUGUUGCUGGUUGGGGAGCCUUUCUCAAGAACUCUGUCAACAAAAAUGAUUAUCUUGGAGAGUACACCGGUGAACUGAUCUCGCAUCGAGAGGCAGAUAAGCGAGGGAAAAUAUACGAUCGUGCCAACUCAUCUUUUCUUUUUGAUUUGAAUGAUCAGUAUGUGCUUGAUGCUUACCGCAAAGGAGAUAAACUGAAAUUCGCCAACCACUCAUCACAUCCCAACUGUUACGCUAAGGUAAUGAUGGUGGCUGGCGAUCACCGGGUUGGCAUUUUUGCCAAAGAGCGAAUCGAGGCCGGUGAAGAACUCUUCUAUGAUUACCGUUAUGGUCCUGAUCAGGCACCUGUAUGGGCCCGGAAGCCUGAUGGGUCUAACCGAGAUGACCUUUUAGUUCCUCAAGGUCGAGCCAAGAAGCACUAAGCCACAAACCAUGCUCAUGAGGUAAGAACCGAAUCGGCUAUGUUAUUUCAGGUUUGGCAUAAGAGUGCAUGUGCUAUAUAUGCGUGUGCAGAUAAGGAAGGACGAUAAGUUAUAUACAGAAUAUAUAAUAUAGUUAUAAUAACGUGGUGCAUUCCUGGCCUCUCUUUAGUAUAUAGUUACCAGAAAUAAGAGAUUUGGCAAUGGUAUUAUGGUGGAAUGUAUUUAUGAUGUUUAAACUUUAUAAGGUGAUUGUAAGUUGAUGUACUUGUAUAGAACUUACCUUUGUUACCACUGGUAAGAAAUUUAAAACACGUUAAAUAAACCGUAAGGUGUGUAAUUUUAUCAAUGUUAAA